RNAcentral lists this ribosomal RNA (266 nucleotides) under Pseudo-nitzschia fraudulenta. Its description in RNAcentral is "partial Bacterial small subunit ribosomal RNA". It matches the Rfam family "Bacterial small subunit ribosomal RNA", at positions 1133 to 1399 of the family's 1533-position model. Lineage: Eukaryota; Bacillariophyta; Bacillariophyceae; Bacillariales; Bacillariaceae. The record is from RNAcentral.
GGGCACUCUAAGGAAACUGCCGGUGCUAAGCCGGAGGAAGGUGGGGAUGACGUCAAGUCCUCAUGGCCCUUACGCCCUGGGCUACACACGUGCUACAAUGGCGGUGACAGUGGGCAGCGAACUCGCGAGAGGGAGCUAAUCUCCAAAAGCCGUCUCAGUUCGGAUUGUUCUCUGCAACUCGAGAGCAUGAAGGCGGAAUCGCUAGUAAUCGCGGAUCAGCAUGCCGCGGUGAAUACGUUCCCAGGCCUUGUACACACCGCCCGUCA